AAGACCUUGCGCUUUUGGAGCGGCCGAUGCCUGAUUAGCUAGUUGGUGGGGUAAUGGCCUACCAAAGCUUCGAUCAGUAGCUGGUCUGAGAGGACGGCCAGCCGCACUGGGACUGAGACACGGCCCAGACUCCUACGGGAGGCAGCAGUGGGGAAUUUUGGACAAUGGGCGCAAGCCUGAUCCAGCCAUGCCGCGUGAGUGAAGAAGGCCUUCGGGUUGUAAAGCUCUUUCAGCCGGGAAGAAAAGGUUGCGAUUAAUAAUCGCAAUUUAUGACGGUACCGGAAGAAGAAGCACCGGCUAACUACGUGCCAGCAGCCGCGGUAAUACGUAGGGUGCGAGCGUUAAUCGGAAUUACUGGGCGUAAAGGGUGCGCAGGCGGUUUUGUAAGUCAGAUGUGAAAUCCCCGGGCUUAACCUGGGAACU
This 423-nucleotide ribosomal RNA is filed under the name uncultured bacterium. Its description in RNAcentral is "bacterial SSU rRNA". It matches the Rfam family "Bacterial small subunit ribosomal RNA", at positions 207 to 622 of the family's 1533-position model. The record is from RNAcentral.